RNAcentral lists this ribosomal RNA (2913 nucleotides) under Enterococcus faecium ERV1. RNAcentral describes it as "bacterial LSU rRNA". It matches the Rfam family "Bacterial large subunit ribosomal RNA". The record is from RNAcentral. Lineage: Bacteria; Bacillati; Bacillota; Bacilli; Lactobacillales; Enterococcaceae.
UUAAGUGAAUAAGGGCGCACGGUGGAUGCCUUGGCACUAGGAGCCGAUGAAGGACGGGACUAACACCGAUAUGCUUUGGGGAGCUGUACGUAAGCUAUGAUCCAGAGAUUUCCGAAUGGGGGAACCCAACAUCUUUAAUAGGAUGUUACGAUUGUGUGAAUACAUAGCACAUUCGAGGUAGACGCAGAGAACUGAAACAUCUAAGUACCUGCAGGAAGAGAAAGAAAAUUCGAUUCCCUGAGUAGCGGCGAGCGAAACGGGAAAAGCCCAAACCAGCAAGCUUGCUUGUUGGGGUUGUAGGACUCCAAUAUGGUAGUUCUUUCAGAUAGUCGAAUGACUUGGAAAAGUCAGUCAAAGAGGGUAAAAACCCCGUAGACGAAAUGUGGAAGACACCUAGGAGGAUCCUGAGUACGGCGGAACACGAGAAAUUCCGUCGGAAUCCGGGAGGACCAUCUCCCAAGGCUAAAUACUCCCUAGUGACCGAUAGUGAACCAGUACCGUGAGGGAAAGGUGAAAAGCACCCCGGAAGGGGAGUGAAAUAGAACCUGAAACCGUGUGCCUACAACAAGUCAAAGCCCGUUAAUGGGUGAUGGCGUGCCUUUUGUAGAAUGAACCGGCGAGUUACGAUUGCAUGCGAGGUUAAGUUGAAGAGACGGAGCCGCAGCGAAAGCGAGUCUGAAUAGGGCGUUUGAGUAUGUAGUCGUAGACCCGAAACCAUGUGAUCUACCCAUGUCCAGGUUGAAGGUGCGGUAAAACGCACUGGAGGACCGAACCCACGUACGUUGAAAAGUGCGGGGAUGAGGUGUGGGUAGCGGAGAAAUUCCAAACGAACUUGGAGAUAGCUGGUUCUCUCCGAAAUAGCUUUAGGGCUAGCCUCGGAAUUGAGAAUGAUGGAGGUAGAGCACUGUUUGGACUAGGGGCCCAUCUCGGGUUACCGAAUUCAGAUAAACUCCGAAUGCCAUUCAUUCAUAUCCGGGAGUCAGACUGUGAGUGAUAAGAUCCAUAGUCGAAAGGGAAACAGCCCAGACCACCAGCUAAGGUCCCAAAAUAUAUGUUAAGUGGAAAAGGAUGUGGGGUUGCACAGACAACUAGGAUGUUGGCUUAGAAGCAGCCACCAUUUAAAGAGUGCGUAAUAGCUCACUAGUCGAGUGACCCUGCGCCGAAAAUGUACCGGGGCUAAACAUAUUACCGAAGCUGUGGAGUACACCUUUAGGUGUAUUGGUAGGAGAGCGUUCUAAGGGCGUCGAAGGCAGAUCGUGAGGACUGCUGGAGCGCUUAGAAGUGAGAAUGCCGGUAUGAGUAGCGAAAGACAGGUGAGAAUCCUGUCCACCGAAUGACUAAGGUUUCCUGGGGAAGGCUCGUCCGCCCAGGGUUAGUCGGGACCUAAGCCGAGGCCGACAGGCGUAGGCGAUGGAUAACAGGUUGAUAUUCCUGUACCCGUUGUUUUUGUUUGAGCAAUGGAGGGACGCAGGAGGCUAAGGAAUGCAGACGAUCGGAAAUGUCUGUCCAAGCAGUAAGUCUGAAGAGGAGUCAAAUGCUUCUUUUCUUAAGGACAAGCUGUGAUGGGGAGGGAAAUAAUAGUACCGAAGUUCCUGAUGUCACACUGCCGAGAAAAGCUUCUAGUGAGAAAACAGCGGCCCGUACCGCAAACCGACACAGGUAGUCGAGGAGAGAAUCCUAAGGUGAGCGAGAGAACUCUCGUUAAGGAACUCGGCAAAAUGACCCCGUAACUUCGGGAGAAGGGGUGCUGAUCAUACGAUCAGCCGCAGUGAAUAGGCCCAAGCGACUGUUUAUCAAAAACACAGGUCUCUGCAAAAUCGUAAGAUGAAGUAUAGGGGCUGACGCCUGCCCGGUGCUGGAAGGUUAAGAGGAGUGCUUAGCGCAAGCGAAGGUACGAAUUGAAGCCCCAGUAAACGGCGGCCGUAACUAUAACGGUCCUAAGGUAGCGAAAUUCCUUGUCGGGUAAGUUCCGACCCGCACGAAAGGCGUAACGAUUUGGGCACUGUCUCAACGAGAGACUCGGUGAAAUUUUAGUACCUGUGAAGAUGCAGGUUACCCGCGACAGGACGGAAAGACCCCAUGGAGCUUUACUGUAGUUUGAUAUUGAGUGUCUGUACCGCAUGUACAGGAUAGGUAGGAGCCGUAGAAAUCGGAACGCUAGUUUCGAUGGAGGCGCUGGUGGGAUACUACCCCUGCGUUAUGGCCACUCUAACCCGCACCACUAAUCGUGGUGGGAGACAGUGUCAGAUGGGCAGUUUGACUGGGGCGGUCGCCUCCUAAAAGGUAACGGAGGCGCCCAAAGGUUCCCUCAGAAUGGUUGGAAAUCAUUCGAAGAGUGUAAAGGCAGAAGGGAGCUUGACUGCGAGACCAACAAGUCGAGCAGGGACGAAAGUCGGGCUUAGUGAUCCGGUGGUUCCGCAUGGAAGGGCCAUCGCUCAACGGAUAAAAGCUACCCUGGGGAUAACAGGCUUAUCUCCCCCAAGAGUCCACAUCGACGGGGAGGUUUGGCACCUCGAUGUCGGCUCGUCGCAUCCUGGGGCUGUAGUCGGUCCCAAGGGUUGGGCUGUUCGCCCAUUAAAGCUGCACGCGAGCUGGGUUCAGAACGUCGUGAGACAGUUCGGUCCCUAUCCGUCGCGGGCGUUGGAAAUUUGAGAGGAGCUGUCCUUAGUACGAGAGGACCGGGAUGGACUUACCGCUGGUGUACCAGUUGUUCUGCCAAGGGCAUUGCUGGGUAGCUAUGUAGGGAAGGGAUAAACGCUGAAAGCAUCUAAGUGUGAAGCCCACCUCAAGAUGAGAUUUCCCAUUUCUUUAAGAAAGUAAGAUCCCUGAGAGAUGAUCAGGUAGAUAGGUCAGGAGUGGAAGUACAGUGAUGUAUGGAGCGGACUGAUACUAAUCGAUCGAGGACUUAACCAA